Molecule: long non-coding RNA, 1086 nt
Organism: Panicum virgatum (switchgrass)
Lineage: Eukaryota; Viridiplantae; Streptophyta; Magnoliopsida; Poales; Poaceae
Exons: 2
Source: RefSeq, a predicted model, not a curated record
UGCUUCUCCUAUAUCGUUUUAGAAUUGGUUUGUCUCUUUUCUGUAGUAGAUAUGUAGCACAACUAUUUGUUGAAAUGCCCCACUGGAAUGACUUAAUUCUUAAUCUCACUGUUGUUAGUUAAUCCUGCUCAACUACAUGAGUUCAUCACCUGCAUCAACCUCUACAUGAGUUCUGACCCUUUUUCUUUUGCGUGGAAUUAGAUUUUUGCAUGCUAUGGUGCACCUGCUUCACACUAUUGAUUCACAUGAAUAGCUGUAAUUUUACGCAAACUGUAUCUGUAUGGGUUAGGUCAUUGUUAGGUGAACUGGUGGGGGCGAUUUCUAAUUUUCUUAAGUUUAUUGUGCCCACAUGCUGUUUACCAGAUUGUAUGAGUUCAAGGUUCUGUUGUGACAGCUUUCAUAUUUGAAGCGAAGUUAAACUCGGAACCCCUCAUCAUCAUUUAAUUUGACUAUCUAGUUGUCACAAACAUAUGCAUGUUCAGUGAUAGUUUCUCUGACACAUAGAGCAAUCAUCAUUGAGGCUGCACCUCACUUUGAAUUUAAUUUACCUUAUGGUGUUGUAAGGUUGGAGAAAGUUACUUUGAUAUUCGAAUGAAGUGUGAUAGCAAAUAGGAUAGUGUUGCUCUUUGUACAGAUCAGUUAAUUACAAUAUUACUAAUUUGCUAUGCCAAUUCAUGUUCCACUAGUAUGUCUUGAUCUAUAACCUUGGAAGCUUCUUGUUAUGUACUAUAUAUUUGAAGAUCAGAUAGAUGUCUUUCUCGACAGCUGGAGCACAAGCAACAACAUUACAGAUCAAGUUCAAUUUCUCUCAGGUUGCAUCACUCCGAAGGAGCUCUGACAUUGACAUGACCAGCUAAGAUGGAUGCAAAAAAUUGAGUUUGUGCAAAGUCACAUUCGAGCAAGUUAGUCUAUAUAUGUGAUUCCAUGCUGAAUCAAGAGCUUAUGAUAUUAUAUGUAAUGAGAUGUUAGUUAAAACAUUAUUCUUGUGAUGAUGACCGCUGAGAUGUUGGUUCAAACUUUAUUCAUGUGAUGAUGACUGACCUGAUUUAAACUACUAUUUUGGUAAAUUGGAUGAUAACUUUUGUA